Quercus robur (English oak) is the source of this 1056-nucleotide long non-coding RNA. RefSeq lists it as uncharacterized. The transcript is spliced from 3 exons. NCBI's taxonomy places the organism in Eukaryota, Viridiplantae, Streptophyta, Magnoliopsida, Fagales, Fagaceae. The record is from RefSeq and is a predicted model, not a curated record.
UACCUUUAUUUAUUUAUUUUAAAUGUCGUUUUCAAGCUUGGGUUAUCUCCUUUUGUGCAUUUUUAGAUAAUUUUGUUGUUUGUUACUUUGAAAGGGACAUACGGACUAUCAAUUUGUUUGAAUGAUACUAGUCCAAUAUCACUGCUUGUACAAGAAAAUGUCAGCGAAAAGAGAAUAACAGAAGCCAAAAUAAAGGCAGAAAAAAACCUCUCUUAGAUGACACAGGUGCAGCUUAUGAGGAGGUUAAGAAAGAUUCGAGUGCUCUAUCUAAGGAGGAACAAAUGGAUGUUUUGCAUAGGGCCCUAGCAGUCCCAUCUUCUCCAGAACUCCUUGAUGGAAAUGACAUACCACUUACCACACCCAUUUUCACCAGCUUGCUAGAUCUUCACUAUAAUAACUGUCUCCAGACUCUCAUCCUAUAUUUCCUGCCAAACUUGCUGCAGAGGCUGACUCAAAAGUGCAAGAAGCGAUCCAAAAAUUUUAGAUAGAAGUACAAGGAACAACAGAAGAAAAAAUUGAAUCGUCAGAAAGGGCAGGUGCAGAAGAUCAAGAAACCUAGUUGUCUUUGUGGUGCAGAAGCCCCAGGACUUAAAAUGUAGCAACGAGUCAGUUGCUUGAUUCAAGCACUUGAUACUGUUUCUUUGUUUCCAAUUUUCUACCUUUUCAAUUGCAUAGUGCUUGUUGGAUCAUGCAUAAUGUAUGUGUCUGAAACUUCUUAUUUUUUGGAAAAAAAAAAUAGUGUAUUUGUCUGAACUAAAUUUUCUUAUGGCAUUUAUACACACAUAUUCAAGCCUUCCAAGGCUUCAAAUAAUUAACUUAAUUGCUGCUAUUUUAAUGUUGCCUUAAAAGCCUCGGUUCAGUAUAACAAAUGGGCUUUCUCAUUGGCACUUUCUCAUAUCACAAGAUUUGGUGGAGGGUGAGGUUAGGAUGAAGAAGAGAUGAGAGGGGAAGGGAAGUUGGUGAAAAUUUAUUAGUUUUUAGCAUCUAUUCAGGUUGUAUUCUCCUCUCAGGUGUGCGUGUGUUAGUGAUUUUGGAGGUAGGCUUACAGUAGAUACU